CAGGGAGACAACAAAAUGUUUAAUAUUAUUAUUUUGUCACCUUAGGUCGAUCGGUAUCUCACGUUUUUAAUUAAUUAAGAAUUUCAUUUCCUAAGUUUUUCUAGGUCACACCCAUUUUUUUUUUCCUGGGCCAUUAGCUCAGGUGGUUAGAGCGCACCCCUGAUAAGGGUGAGGUCCCUGGUUCAAGUCCAGGAUGGCCCAUAUCUCUAUGUUGGGGGUAUAGCUCAGUUGGUAGAGCGCCUGCUUUGCAAGCAGGAUGUCAGCGGUUCGAGUCCGCUUACCUCCACUGAUUACCACCUCUUCCAUACUUUGUAGAAAGGAAAAAAAUUUUUGGUUGUGAUUAUUAUUCUGAACGAAUUUAGCUUCCUAAUGAAAUCAUUAAGAUGCUGGACUCAUUGAAUUAAUUUCAUUGUUUUCAGAGAACCUUGACAACUGCAUAGAUUAUUUUUAAAGACAAUAAGCAUCUUUAAUGAUGCAGAUUUAUUAUUUGUGCAAAUGCAUUAAUAACAAUUCUAUUAAGCUGAUGCUUCA
Molecule: transfer RNA, 531 nt
Filed under: uncultured Prochlorococcus sp.
Lineage: Bacteria; Bacillati; Cyanobacteriota; Cyanophyceae; Synechococcales; Prochlorococcaceae
Description: partial 16S-23S ribosomal RNA intergenic spacer
Rfam family: tRNA (bases 214-286)
Source: RNAcentral